Molecule: ribosomal RNA, 2900 nt
Filed under: Klebsiella pneumoniae
Lineage: Bacteria; Pseudomonadati; Pseudomonadota; Gammaproteobacteria; Enterobacterales; Enterobacteriaceae
Description: 23S ribosomal RNA
Rfam family: Bacterial large subunit ribosomal RNA
Source: RNAcentral
GGUUAAGCGACUAAGCGUACACGGUGGAUGCCCUGGCAGUCAGAGGCGAUGAAGGACGUGCUAAUCUGCGAAAAGCGUCGGUAAGGUGAUAUGAACCGUUAUAACCGGCGAUGUCCGAAUGGGGAAACCCAGUGUGAUUCGUCACACUAUCGUUAACUGAAUACAUAGGUUAACGAGGCGAACCGGGGGAACUGAAACAUCUAAGUACCCCGAGGAAAAGAAAUCAACCGAGAUUCCCCCAGUAGCGGCGAGCGAACGGGGAGCAGCCCAGAGUCUGAAUCAGCUUGUGUGUUAGUGGAACGGUCUGGAAAGUCCGACGGUACAGGGUGAUAGUCCCGUACACCAAAAUGCACAGGCUGUGAACUCGAAGAGUAGGGCGGGACACGUGGUAUCCUGUCUGAAUAUGGGGGGACCAUCCUCCAAGGCUAAAUACUCCUGACUGACCGAUAGUGAACCAGUACCGUGAGGGAAAGGCGAAAAGAACCCCGGCGAGGGGAGUGAAAAAGAACCUGAAACCGUGUACGUACAAGCAGUGGGAGCACCUUCGGGUGUGACUGCGUACCUUUUGUAUAAUGGGUCAGCGACUUAUAUUCUGUAGCAAGGUUAACCGUAUAGGGGAGCCGCAGGGAAACCGAGUCUUAACUGGGCGUUAAGUUGCAGGGUAUAGACCCGAAACCCGGUGAUCUAGCCAUGGGCAGGUUGAAGGUUGGGUAACACUAACUGGAGGACCGAACCGACUAAUGUUGAAAAAUUAGCGGAUGACUUGUGGCUGGGGGUGAAAGGCCAAUCAAACCGGGAGAUAGCUGGUUCUCCCCGAAAGCUAUUUAGGUAGCGCCUCGUGAAUUCAUCUUCGGGGGUAGAGCACUGUUUCGGCUAGGGGGUCAUCCCGACUUACCAACCCGAUGCAAACUACGAAUACCGAAGAAUGUUAUCACGGGAGACACACGGCGGGUGCUAACGUCCGUCGUGAAGAGGGAAACAACCCAGACCGCCAGCUAAGGUCCCAAAGUCAUGGUUAAGUGGGAAACGAUGUGGGAAGGCACAGACAGCCAGGAUGUUGGCUUAGAAGCAGCCAUCAUUUAAAGAAAGCGUAAUAGCUCACUGGUCGAGUCGGCCUGCGCGGAAGAUGUAACGGGGCUAAACCAUGCACCGAAGCUGCGGCAGCGACACUAUGUGUUGUUGGGUAGGGGAGCGUUCUGUAAGCCUGCGAAGGUGACCUGUGAGGGUUGCUGGAGGUAUCAGAAGUGCGAAUGCUGACAUAAGUAACGAUAAAGCGGGUGAAAAGCCCGCUCGCCGGAAGACCAAGGGUUCCUGUCCAACGUUAAUCGGGGCAGGGUGAGUCGACCCCUAAGGCGAGGCCGAAAGGCGUAGUCGAUGGGAAACAGGUUAAUAUUCCUGUACUUGGUGUUACUGCGAAGGGGGACGGAGAAGGCUAUGUUAGCCGGGCGACGGUUGUCCCGGUUUAAGCAUGUAGGCUGAUUGUCCAGGCAAAUCCGGAUAAUCAAGGCUGAGGUGUGAUGACGAGGCACUACGGUGCUGAAGUAACAAAUGCCCUGCUUCCAGGAAAAGCCUCUAAGCAUCAGGUAACAUCAAAUCGUACCCCAAACCGACACAGGUGGUCAGGUAGAGAAUACCAAGGCGCUUGAGAGAACUCGGGUGAAGGAACUAGGCAAAAUGGUGCCGUAACUUCGGGAGAAGGCACGCUGGUGUGUAGGUGAAGUCCCUGCGGAUGGAGCUGAGACCAGUCGAAGAUACCAGCUGGCUGCAACUGUUUAUUAAAAACACAGCACUGUGCAAACACGAAAGUGGACGUAUACGGUGUGACGCCUGCCCGGUGCCGGAAGGUUAAUUGAUGGGGUUAUCCGUAAGGAGAAGCUCUUGAUCGAAGCCCCGGUAAACGGCGGCCGUAACUAUAACGGUCCUAAGGUAGCGAAAUUCCUUGUCGGGUAAGUUCCGACCUGCACGAAUGGCGUAAUGAUGGCCAGGCUGUCUCCACCCGAGACUCAGUGAAAUUGAACUCGCUGUGAAGAUGCAGUGUACCCGCGGCAAGACGGAAAGACCCCGUGAACCUUUACUAUAGCUUGACACUGAACAUUGAGCCUUGAUGUGUAGGAUAGGUGGGAGGCUUUGAAGCGUGGACGCCAGUCUGCGUGGAGCCAACCUUGAAAUACCACCCUUUAAUGUUUGAUGUUCUAACGUUGGCCCCUGACCGGGGUUGCGGACAGUGUCUGGUGGGUAGUUUGACUGGGGCGGUCUCCUCCCAAAGCGUAACGGAGGAGCACGAAGGUUAGCUAAUCCUGGUCGGACAUCAGGAGGUUAGUGCAAUGGCAUAAGCUAGCUUGACUGCGAGCGUGACGGCGCGAGCAGGUGCGAAAGCAGGUCAUAGUGAUCCGGUGGUUCUGAAUGGAAGGGCCAUCGCUCAACGGAUAAAAGGUACUCCGGGGAUAACAGGCUGAUACCGCCCAAGAGUUCAUAUCGACGGCGGUGUUUGGCACCUCGAUGUCGGCUCAUCACAUCCUGGGGCUGAAGUAGGUCCCAAGGGUAUGGCUGUUCGCCAUUUAAAGUGGUACGCGAGCUGGGUUUAGAACGUCGUGAGACAGUUCGGUCCCUAUCUGCCGUGGGCGCUGGAGAAUUGAGGGGGCUGCUCCUAGUACGAGAGGACCGGAGUGGACGCAUCACUGGUGUUCGGGUUGUCAUGCCAAUGGCACUGCCCGGUAGCUAAAUGCGGAAGAGAUAAGUGCUGAAAGCAUCUAAGCACGAAACUUGCCCCGAGAUGAGUUCUCCCUGAGACUUUAAGUCUCCUGAAGGAACGUUGAAGACGACGACGUUGAUAGGCCGGGUGUGUAAGCGCAGCGAUGCGUUGAGCUAACCGGUACUAAUGAACCGUGAGGCUUAACCUU